AGGCUUCAUCCAGCAACUGAUGGAAGCAGAUGAAGAGACUCACGGCCAAACAUUAGGCAGAAAGAGAGAGUCCAAAUUGAAGGUCUCCAUUGGGUCCCUCCUUCUGGAGCUCAAGGAACCCCAAGGAAGAAGGCAAGAGAGGAUUGAGGAGCCAGAGGGGUUGAGGAUACCAGGAAGCCAUGGCCAACACAGUCAACUACGCAGGGCUCAUAGGCUCCCAGAGACUGAAGUGCCAAUCACAGAGCCUGCCUGGGUCUGAGGGAUAUGGAAAAUGAAAGAUUAACUGAAGAAGGGACGCCCAUGAUGAAGCCUCCAUGAGGAUAUCUACUAUGACAGGGGUACCAGUCUUUGAUACAGAUGUUUCGGGCCACACGUGCCACUCUUUGAAAAUUCUUUUUAGGGCCAGCGAGAUGGUGCAAAGGGUGAAGAAGGUUAGCCACCAAGUCUGGCAACUUGAGUUUGAUCCCCAGGACCCAUAAGGUAGGAGAAAAUCAACUCUAGUAGGAAGCCCUCUGACCUAUGGGGCGGGGGACAGAAUAAAAUACAAGGUAAAAUGUCUUUUAGAAAGAAGAAAGUGUGUAUAAUGACACACUCAUAUGAUGAGGACACUAGAGAAAGCCUGGCAUUUUGUAUGCUAACCUAAAAAGCCAGUUGAAAGGGAGAGGCAGUGGUGCAUUGCACAUGGUUGAACUGACUUGCCAACUCUUUGUCUAAUUUUAUCUGAUGGUAACAGCUGCACUCCCUGAGGGUGGCACACUGAGUCGGCGAUACCCAUUUCUAUGCUAAGGAUGUAGUGGGACUUCUGGAGUUCUGUGCAAACUCUCCCUUCCAGUGACCCAUCCUGACAACUCCCAGACACUAUGGUGUGCUUGCUCUCCGAUCCCUCUUCUCAACUCAGGGAGUUUACCACACCGUGCCCCAGUGCCCUGUCUUUACUGCAUCCUAGGAAUCAUCUCAGAGUCCCACUGCACAGCUUAGUGCACUGACACCCAGUGUCUAAUUUUAGUACUUACUAAUAUUGCUUCAUGUGUUUUAUCAAAUAUUUGGUUAUUUCAGACAAGGAAGGGCAUUUUGUCCCUGUAACUUCAUCUAACCCUGAACUUAAAAUCUCUUACACAUUUUCAAAAAUUAGAUCUUUAAAAUAAAAAUUUAGAAAUGUGCCUCUUUUCCCCCCUUUGCUAAUUGUAUUCUCACACCAUAAAACUAUCUUCAGGCUUUUUUUUUUCACAUUGAAAAAUGAGACACCAAUAUCCUGUCCAGUAUAUAGUCCUACUGUGUGAUACAAUUUCUAGAAGGUAAUAGUCACCCCAUAUAUAUUUGAUUUGAGUAAAUGCAGAAAAGGACAAAUAAAUGAAAUCCCAGAUAAACUCAGGGAGAAGAUACAUGAAGUAUAUUUACUGAACAGACAAUGGUUCUAAAUUUUGUUUUAUGUAGCAAAAUUAUACAGAAGUGAGAAAACGAAGGCGUGAAGGAAAUACAAGGAAGACUUGGUUUCUGGGCAGGCGUAGAAAGGGAGCUAAUGCUUCCUUCUUUCCAGAAGACACAGCAAGCACCCGAGCUUCCGGUUGCCCUCCUCCCGGCUGUCUCGGAAGGGGAGGGGCCACAUGGAUCUUCAAGUCCCUCCCUUUUCAUGUCAGUUCAUUCUCUGUUUUUUUCUCGGUGUCUCUCUGUCGCUCUCUCUGCUCACCUCCCUCUUCCCCCUCCCUGUCUCCCUUUUCUUCUACCUUCUCUCCCCCUUUUAUGGAGAAUAUUACAUGCACUAUAUUUUGGAGUCCAAAACUCAACAGCCAAUUAAUUGUGUUGAUACCAUUCUUAUAGGAUGACAAAACUAAGUAACUGCAAACUUGCCGGCUCUCCUUCGUGGGACCCUUUCUGCCUCUCCACUCCUGCUUCCCAGGGAGGCCCCAGAGAAUGGACAGUCCUGGGACUAUGUGGAGAGCUUCCGGUCUCAUUCACUACUGCUUCUCACAGACGCAUGGUUUCCACUGUUUUUUCCUCAGUAUGAUGUUUGGAAAGAUUGCCUUCAUGCAAGGUAUCACUGGUUUAGAAGCAAUUUGCAAUUUAAACACUGUAUCUGUCAUUUAAAAAAAUGUUAAUUUUUCUGUGGAUACAAACUUGGGCCUCAUUGGAAAAUAAAUAAAGCUUAGGGGCAAAUUCAUAGCACAAAGUAAUUAUACGUAGGAAGUCUUGUGUCUGUUUUAUUUCUAUCAGUUCAUGGAGCAGUGUUCCAAGAAAACAAAACAAACCACAAAAAAUCUCUGCCUUUUUGAAGUUAAUUCUUCCAUGAAAACCGUGAUGGGUCAGGACACCCUUGUGUAUUUUUGUACCUGCCCAUCUUGAUAUAUGUCUAAGAUUUUCUCAUGCUUUUAAUUCUGUAAACAUUCAAUCCUGAGUGAAUGCUUAUUUUUGAUACAAUCAAACCCGUGGCACACCUGUCUCUGAGGAUGAAGGGGCAGUGAGUCACCGAGAGGAGGAGGGUCACAUUAACCCUUGGAAGACAUGGGGGAUAAUUUAUGAGCUUGUUUUUGAAGGCAUAGAGUGAAAGCACUCAGGGUCUCCUGAACGAGGUCAUCUCCUUGCUCUCACCACAGGGAUGUAGAGCCUUUGCCCAGGUCCUAUCUUGACUGAUGUCAUGGGAUUUAGGAAAGCAGUUUUA
Peromyscus maniculatus bairdii (prairie deer mouse) is the source of this 2656-nucleotide non-coding RNA. The record is from RefSeq and is a predicted model, not a curated record. Lineage: Eukaryota; Metazoa; Chordata; Mammalia; Rodentia; Cricetidae.